CGAAGGCACUACCGUGUCUCUAUUCCGCUCAAAUUAGCACUUUUGAGCGCUGGUGAGCGUGUUGAAUGCUCCUUUCUGUCAAACGUACCUAUACAUAAAUCAAGUCAUCGAAACAAGAACACAAAAUUUACUAAAAGAUGAAAAAACGAAACAAAAAAUUAAAAUAGAUGUUUCUUCAAAGAAAAAAAAAAGAGGUAGUGUGGGAAAAAUCUCAAGCUGCGGAACAAAAUGUAAGGGUUAUUUUAUUGCAAUAACAAUGAAGUAAAGUACAACCAAAUGAACAUUGUCAUUUUAUAGUUCAAUGUCUUGUUCCAGAUAUUACACAUCAAAAAGAAAAAAAGAAGAAGAA
Molecule: long non-coding RNA, 349 nt
Organism: Chelonus insularis
Lineage: Eukaryota; Metazoa; Arthropoda; Insecta; Hymenoptera; Braconidae
Exons: 3
Source: RefSeq, a predicted model, not a curated record